GUGGGUAUAGCUCAGUUGUAAAGUGCAUGUUCAGCAUGCAUGAAGUCCUGGGUUCAAUCCCCAGUACCUUCA
Molecule: transfer RNA, 72 nt
Filed under: Camelus bactrianus (Bactrian camel)
Lineage: Eukaryota; Metazoa; Chordata; Mammalia; Artiodactyla; Camelidae
Also listed under: 2 other names
Rfam family: tRNA
About the family: Transfer RNA (tRNA) molecules are approximately 80 nucleotides in length. Their secondary structure includes four short double-helical elements and three loops (D, anti-codon, and T loops).
Source: Rfam by way of RNAcentral